RNAcentral lists this ribosomal RNA (834 nucleotides) under Salmonella enterica. RNAcentral describes it as "partial 23S ribosomal RNA". It matches the Rfam family "Bacterial large subunit ribosomal RNA", at positions 2106 to 2925 of the family's 2925-position model. The record is from RNAcentral. Lineage: Bacteria; Pseudomonadati; Pseudomonadota; Gammaproteobacteria; Enterobacterales; Enterobacteriaceae.
AUAGCUUGACACUGAACAUUGAGCCUUGAUGUGUAGGAUAGGUGGGAGGCUUUGAAGUGUGGACGCCAGUCUGCAUGGAGCCGACCUUGAAAUACCACCCUUUAAUGUUUGAUGUUCUAACGUGGACCCGUUACCCGGGUUGCGGACAGUGUCUGGUGGGUAGUUUGACUGGGGCGGUCUCCUCCUAAAGAGUAACGGAGGAGCACGAAGGUUGGCUAAUCCUGGUCGGACAUCAGGAGGUUAGUGCAAUGGCAUAAGCCAGCUUGACUGCGAGCGUGACGGCGCGAGCAGGUGCGAAAGCAGGUCAUAGUGAUCCGGUGGUUCUGAAUGGAAGGGCCAUCGCUCAACGGAUAAAAGGUACUCCGGGGAUAACAGGCUGAUACCGCCCAAGAGUUCAUAUCGACGGCGGUGUUUGGCACCUCGAUGUCGGCUCAUCACAUCCUGGGGCUGAAGUAGGUCCCAAGGGUAUGGCUGUUCGCCAUUUAAAGUGGUACGCGAGCUGGGUUUAGAACGUCGUGAGACAGUUCGGUCCCUAUCUGCCGUGGGCGCUGGAGAACUGAGGGGGGCUGCUCCUAGUACGAGAGGACCGGAGUGGACGCAUCACUGGUGUUCGGGUUGUCAUGCCAAUGGCACUGCCCGGUAGCUAAAUGCGGAAGAGAUAAGUGCUGAAAGCAUCUAAGCACGAAACUUGCCCCGAGAUGAGUUCUCCCUGAGACUUUAGGUCUCCUGAAGGAACGUUGAAGACGACGACGUUGAUAGGCCGGGUGUGUAAGCGCAGCGAUGCGUUGAGCUAACCGGUACUAAUGAACCGUGAGGCUUAACCUUACAACGCCG